Molecule: transfer RNA, 74 nt
Filed under: Candidatus Scalindua brodae
Lineage: Bacteria; Pseudomonadati; Planctomycetota; Candidatus Brocadiia; Candidatus Brocadiales; Candidatus Scalinduaceae
Also listed under: 1 other name
Description: tRNA-Thr
Rfam family: tRNA
About the family: Transfer RNA (tRNA) molecules are approximately 80 nucleotides in length. Their secondary structure includes four short double-helical elements and three loops (D, anti-codon, and T loops).
Source: RNAcentral
AGCCCGCGUGGCUCAAUGGUAGAGCACGUCACUCGUAAUGAUGAGAUUGUGGGUUCGAUUCCCACCGCGGGCUU